GUGGGGAAUUUUGGACAAUGGGCGAAAGCCUGAUCCAGCCAUGCCGCGUGCAGGAUGAAGGCCUUCGGGUUGUAAACUGCUUUUGUACGGAACGAAAAGACUCCUUCUAAUAAAGGGGGUCCAUGACGGUACCGUAAGAAUAAGCACCGGCUAACUACGUGCCAGCAGCCGCGGUAAUACGUAGGGUGCAAGCGUUAAUCGGAAUUACUGGGCGUAAAGCGUGCGCAGGCGGUUAUAUAAGACAGAUGUGAAAUCCCCGGGCUCAACCUGGGAACUGCAUUUGUGACUGUAUAGCUAGAGUACGGUAGAGGGGGAUGGAAUUCCGCGUGUAGCAGUGAAAUGCGUAGAUAUGCGGAGGAACACCGAUGGCGAAGGCAAUCCCCUGGACCUGUACUGACGCUCAUACACGAAAGCGUGGGGAGCAAACAGGAUUAGAUACCCCGGUAGUCC
This 450-nucleotide ribosomal RNA is filed under the name uncultured bacterium. RNAcentral's name for it is "partial 16S ribosomal RNA". It matches the Rfam family "Bacterial small subunit ribosomal RNA", at positions 354 to 796 of the family's 1533-position model. The record is from RNAcentral.